Molecule: ribosomal RNA, 251 nt
Filed under: uncultured bacterium
Lineage: Bacteria
Description: partial 16S ribosomal RNA
Rfam family: Bacterial small subunit ribosomal RNA
Source: RNAcentral
UACAGAGGUCCCAAGCGUUGUUCGGAUUCACUGGCGUAAAGGGUGCGUAGGCGGUCGGGUAAGUCUGAUGUGAAAUCUCACAGCUUAACUGUGAAACUGCAUUGGAUACUAUCCGGCUCGAGGAAUGGAGGGAGACUGGAAUACUUGGUGUAGCAGUGAAAUGCGUAGAUAUCAAGUGGAACACCAGUGGCGAAGGCGAGUCUCGUGGACAUUUCCUGACGCUGAGGCACGAAAGCCAGGGAGCAAACGGG